AUUGAACGCUGGCGGCAUGCCUUACACAUGCAAGUCGAACGGCAGCACGGGAGCAAUCCUGGUGGCGAGUGGCGAACGGGUGAGUAAUAUAUCGGAACGUGCCCGGUCGUGGGGAUAACGUAGCGAAAGCUACGCUAAUACCGCAUACGAUCUACGGAUGAAAGCGGGGGAUCGCAAGACCUCGCGCGAUUGGAGCGGCCGAUAUCAGAUUAGGUAGUUGGUGAGGUAAAGGCUCACCAAGCCGACGAUCUGUAGCUGGUCUGAGAGGACGACCAGCCACACUGGGACUGAGACACGGCCCAGACUCCUACGGGAGGCAGCAGUGGGGAAUUUUGGACAAUGGGCGCAAGCCUGAUCCAGCCAUGCCGCGUGCAGGAUGACGGUCCUAUGGAUUGUAAACUGCUUUUGUACAGGAAGAAACCCUUUCACGUGUGGAAGAUUGACGGUACUGUAAGAAUAAGGAUCGGCUAACUCCGUG
Molecule: ribosomal RNA, 478 nt
Filed under: uncultured bacterium
Lineage: Bacteria
Description: bacterial SSU rRNA
Rfam family: Bacterial small subunit ribosomal RNA
Source: RNAcentral